Molecule: long non-coding RNA, 225 nt
Organism: Mastomys coucha (southern multimammate mouse)
Lineage: Eukaryota; Metazoa; Chordata; Mammalia; Rodentia; Muridae
Exons: 3
Source: RefSeq, a predicted model, not a curated record
GAGGAAGGAGACGCUAUGGGUUAGCAUUCCUGUUCUUUUCCUGAAACUGGACUUCCAAUCAGUGUCAGAAACUCUACCACUGCACAAAGGCAGCAGGAGACACUGAGACACCCUGGCCAGACUUGAGCUUUGAAGACCUAAAAGUCCACCUCCACCUUGACCUGAGUCAGGCCACACAUACUACACAACAAGACCGCACUUCUAAAGGAGAGAAAGAGAGAGAGA